This 847-nucleotide ribosomal RNA is filed under the name uncultured bacterium. RNAcentral's name for it is "bacterial SSU rRNA". It matches the Rfam family "Bacterial small subunit ribosomal RNA", at positions 28 to 864 of the family's 1533-position model. The record is from RNAcentral.
AUUGAACGCUGGCGGCAUGCCUAACACAUGCAAGUCGAACGGAAACGAUGCUAGCUUGCUAGCAGGCGUCGAGUGGCGGACGGGUGAGUAAUGUAUAGGGAUCUGCCUAGUAGUGGGGGACAACAUGUGGAAACGCAUGCUAAUACCGCAUACGCUCUACGGAGGAAAGUGGGGGACCUUUCGGGGCCUCAUGCUACUAGAUGAACCUAUAUUGGAUUAGCUUGUUGGUAAGGUAAUGGCUUACCAAGGCGACGAUCCAUAGCUGGUUUGAGAGAAUGAUCAGCCACACUGGGACUGAGACACGGCCCAGACUCCUACGGGAGGCAGCAGUGGGGAAUAUUGCACAAUGGACGAAAGUCUGAUGCAGCAAUGCCGCGUGUGUGAAGAAGGCCUUAGGGUUGUAAAGCACUUUCAGACGUGAGGAAAAGUAAUAAUUUAAUAAAUUAUUACCUUGACGUUAACGUCAGAAGAAGGACCGGCUAACUCCGUGCCAGCAGCCGCGGUAAUACGGAGGGUCCAAGCGUUAAUCGGAAUUACUGGGCGUAAAGCGCGCGUAGGCGGAUAUUUAAGUCAGAUGUGAAAUCCCUGGGCUCAACCUAGGAACUGCAUUUGAUACUGGAUAUCUAGAGUAUGGUAGAGGUGAGUGGAAUUUCAGGUGUAGCGGUGAAAUGCGUAGAGAUCUGAAGGAACAUCAGUGGCGAAGGCGACUCACUGGGCCAUUACUGACGCUGAGGUGCGAAAGCGUGGGUAGCAAACAGGAUUAGAUACCCUGGUAGUCCACGCCCUAAACGAUGUCAACUAGGUGUAUGGGAGUUUAACUCCUGUGUAUCGAAGCUAACGCGAUAAG